This 468-nucleotide ribosomal RNA is filed under the name uncultured bacterium. Its description in RNAcentral is "partial 16S ribosomal RNA". It matches the Rfam family "Bacterial small subunit ribosomal RNA", at positions 28 to 507 of the family's 1533-position model. The record is from RNAcentral.
GACGAACGCUGGCGGCGUGCUUAACACAUGCAAGUCGAACGGAAAGGCCCUGCUUUUGUGGGGUGCUCGAGUUGCGAACGGGUGAGUAACACUUGAGUAACCUGCCCUUGACUUUGGGAUAACUUCAUGAAACUGGGGCUAAUACCGGAUAGGAGCUCCUGCUUCAUGGUGGGGGUUGGAAAGUUUCGGCGGUUGGUGAUGGACUCGCGGCUUAUCAGCUUGUUGGUGGGGUAGUGGCUUACCAAGGCUUUGACGGGUAGCCGGCCUGAGAGGGUGACCGGCCACAUUGGAACUGAGAUAAGGCCCAGACUCCUACGGGAGGCAGCAGUGGGGAAUAUUGCACAAUGGGCGGAAGCCUGAUGCAGCAACGCAGCGUGCGGGAUGACGGCCUUCGGGUUGUAAACCGCUUUCGCCUGUGACGAAGCGUGAGUGACGGUAAUGGGUAAAGAAGCACCGGCUAACUACGUG